UGUAGGAACCACCUGGGUUUGCUGAUGCUUUGGGGAAAUCGUCUGCACAUCAAGCUAAUGAGGAGCUAUCCAGUACUUUCAUAACACAAACAGGUGCUGACAACAGGAACCAGGCCACUGUGAUCGACACCACAGGAAGCAUUAAUUCCUCGGGAUCGAAACCGCUUGCAUCUUCAUAUCCCAAAAGGAUACUCUGCAACACAUCAUGCCCACGACGUGUUUUCUUGAGCGCUAGAAAACUGCGGACUCUCUCAGCCUGAGUUACCAUUCUCCCCUCUGUGUGCUUCAGUUCCCAUUCCAGAGAGUUGAAUACCAAACCCAGGCAGGUAUUCCCAAUACAAAACGGGGAAAUGCUGCACUGUCGAAAGCACCAUCUUUUGAACAAAAUACUUCCCCAAGGCCAAGUGUAUUUUUUUUAUUUCUUCACAGGAUGUAGGUGCCCAGCACUUAUUGCCCAUCCCUAAUUCCCCAGAGGGUAGUUAGGAGUCAGCCACAUUAUUCUGGAGUCACACGGAGGCCAGGCCAGGUCAGGAUGGUAGAUUUCCAUCCCUGAAGGAUAUUAGUGAACCCCGUCAGUUCUUCCACAGUAGUUCCUAUUAGGCCAGAUUAUACCAGAUUUUUAUUGAAUUCAAAUUUUGCUAUCUAAUACGACGGGAUUCAAACUCAUUUCCCAGAACAUGAACUUAGGGCUCUGGAUAACUGCCAGUCCAGUGAAAUUACCACUAAGCUGCCAUCUCCCUUUAACCCUACAUUGCACAGGUGAAUGCCUAAGAUCCCACUGCUUUGAAGAAGGGCAGAGAAAUGGUUUUGGUGUCCUGGCCAACUCUAAUCCCUCAACCCAAUACUUCACAGCAAUAUAUUGUGAAUUAUUGUCUUGCUGUGCACAAGGCACAAGUUUUCUACAUCGUGACAAUACCUACUGACUCCUUUGAAACUACUGCGUGAGCUAUAAAGGAUAGGACCUGAGUUCAUUAUGUAUAUAAAUGCAAGUCUUAGUUUUUCUUUUCAUUGUGUUGGAGGGCUUGAACUAUAAGGAGAGGCUGAAUA
Rhincodon typus (whale shark) is the source of this 1047-nucleotide long non-coding RNA. RefSeq lists it as uncharacterized. NCBI's taxonomy places the organism in Eukaryota, Metazoa, Chordata, Chondrichthyes, Orectolobiformes, Rhincodontidae. The record is from RefSeq and is a predicted model, not a curated record. The transcript has 3 exons.